This 344-nucleotide ribosomal RNA is filed under the name uncultured eukaryote. Its description in RNAcentral is "SSU rRNA". It matches the Rfam family "Eukaryotic small subunit ribosomal RNA", at positions 567 to 912 of the family's 1831-position model. The record is from RNAcentral.
CCAGCAGCCGCGGUAAUUCCAGCUCCAAUAGCGUAUAUUAACGUUGUUGCAGUUAAAAGGCUCGUAGUCGAAUUUGUGGCCGCGCAGCAAUUGCCCGGCGUCUAGUACGUCGCGCGCUUUUGUUUGCGGGUCAUCCGUCCGGAGAGUCCGUUGCCCUUGAUUGGGUUGGCGGGCGGUCUGGACCGUUUACUGUGAGUAAAUCAAAGUGUUCAAGGCAGGCGUUUCGCUGUGAAUGCUCUAGCAUGGAAUAAUACUAUAGGACUUGCGUCCUGUUGAUUGGCUUUAGGACGAAAGUAAUGAUUGAAAGGGAUAGUUGGGGGUGCUAGUAUUUAGCGGUAAGCGGU